GGGGGCGUAGCAUAACCUGGUAGUGCAGCUGGCUCCAGACCAGCGGAUUCGGGUUCGAAUCCCGCCGUCCCCA
This 73-nucleotide transfer RNA is filed under the name Candidatus Iainarchaeum sp. RNAcentral describes it as "tRNA-Trp". It matches the Rfam family "tRNA". Rfam says of the family: Transfer RNA (tRNA) molecules are approximately 80 nucleotides in length. Their secondary structure includes four short double-helical elements and three loops (D, anti-codon, and T loops). Lineage: Archaea; Nanobdellati; Candidatus Iainarchaeota; Candidatus Iainarchaeia; Candidatus Iainarchaeales; Candidatus Iainarchaeaceae. The record is from RNAcentral.